AGGCUCUAUGCAGGGAGCCCCAUGUGGGACUCGAUCCCAGGACUCUAGAUCACACCCCAGGCCAAAGGCAGACACUUAAGGGCAGAGCCACCCAGGGAUCCCCAAAGACGGCUGUUGAAACACGAGUGUACUUUGAGAGGAUGCAGCUCCGUGAGCAUCCGUGGCUGAUAAUUUGGUGUGGGAGACAGCACAGCCCAGCAGCUGUCCCAGCUCUGCCCGUUCCCAUACGUGUGGCCAAGAGCAAGUGCCGUCACCUGCUCUGCUGCCCCUGUAAAUGGGAGGUAAUAAGCUGUACUCACCUCAUGGCAUUACACAAGGAUCAAGUGAGUUAAUAUUUGCAAAGGGCUCAGCGCAGAGCCUGGGAAAUGGAAAGCCCGAUGUGUUUGCUGUUCUCUCGGUCAUCUGAGAGGCCGGGGUGGCAGGUGACAGGGAACACAGUGUGGUGGUGUGGGCAGCGGGGGCCAAGCCACCAUCCUGAGCGUGCCAGGACCUCUUUGCACUCUCAGCAGUGUUGAGGACCCAAGGGACAGUUGUUCCUGGGGAUUACACCUGUUGAUAUUUUUUCCGCAUUAGAAAUGACUGAUUAGAACUCUCCUGUACUGGAAAAUAAAACCGAGAACAUUUAACAAUAUUUAGUAAUUCAUUUAAAAAUAAUGAUAUUAUUAUUCAUUUAAAAAUGAGGAUGAUAUGUCCUUUCUGUUUUCAUGUGAACAUUUUACGGGAAAUAGCUAUAUUUACAUUUCUGUCAAGCUCUUUCAAUCUCCCGAGCUCGGGAGCCCACGUCCUCAGCCCACUGCCUUUUGCCCCCAGGCCGACCUAACUGCACACCUGCACCUCUGGCCAGGUCUCCUAAGGGCCCUGGCGGUGACGGCAGAGACAGCUUCCUAUGCCACGUUCACCCAUGCAUCCGGCCCUGGGUCCUGCACCUGGUGCUGGGUCCCGCAUCUGGUGCCCGUGGCCAAAGACUAAACGCUGCAGAGAGUUUAUUGCCUCAUCACCCCUAGACACAGUCCAGCCAUCUGAGAACACCAGGACCUCACCCUGGUCAGUCCUUUGGCAGGCCAGGAGAUGUCCCUGUCGUGUCCCUGCCAAUGCAGGGCCAGAGGCCAUGGGAGCCACAGGCUUCAGAUCCGUGAGUGCAGCACAGCUCACCCCAGGGCCUGCCGCGGCGCCCGGAGCAUCAGCCGGGCUGCUCUGAAGAAACAGAGCUCAGAGGAGAUAUAAACAUAGACAUGUGUGCAUGGUGGAGUGUGGGCUCAUGUGACGGCGGAGGCUGGCAAGUCCCAGGAGUUGCACUGUGUGGGCAGCCCAGGUGGCUCAGCGGUUUAACACAGCCUUCAGCCCGGGGUGUGUUCCUAGAGUCUCGGGAUCGAGUCCCAUGUCGGGCUCCCUGCAGGUAGCCUGCUUCUCCCUCUGCCUGUGUCUCUGCCUCUCUCUGUGUGUCUCUCAUGAAUAAAUAAAUAAAAUCUUUAAAAAAAUAAAAAAGGAGCUGCACUGUGCAAGCUGAGAGCCAGGGGAACCACCGGGUAAGAUGUCCCAGGCCGACGUCCCAGUUCGGAAACAGGCAGAGGGCAGAUGCUCCCCCACCCGCUCUGUUCCAUCCACACCUCCCGCUGAUCGGUGAGGCCCACCUGCCCCAGGGGGAAGGCAACCUGCUUUUCUCAGUGUGCAGAUUCAGACGCUCAUCUCGUCCUGAAACACCCUUGUGGAGGACACCCGGAGCACUGUCUGACCAAACAUCUGGGCACCUGAGGCUUGGCCACGUGAUGCGUGAAGUUGACUGCCACACCUGCUGAAGGCUAUCCAGGUGCUGCCAUUCAUUGACCUGAGGCAAACGGCCUGUGCCGUCCUUCUGACUACAUGACGAUGGAGCCAUCAAGGUCGGGGUGAGGGACCUGGACACCACGCAGGGCAGCACAGCCCAGGGGGAGCCUCAUCCCGGGUCACCCUGGGUCAUCCUGGGUCACCCCGGAGUCCUGGCCCAUGAUACCCAUUUGCUUCUCCAGAAGCCUUGAUUACAGGCUGGAAGUGUGAAUAAAGUCUAAGCAGAUACCAGUGUCAGUGGAGAUAAACAUCAAGCUUUAUUGACUUAAGAGGUAAAUAUUGAUGGAACUUAAAUACCAAAUCAAUAUUUACCUCAAGGGACAAUACAGCCUGAAAUUGAAGUUGGGCCAUGUGUGCUCUUCCAGCACUUUAACUGCAGACUCCCGACGUCUUCAUCAGGAGCGAUGUGGUGAGAGAUUCCUUGAGGCACCAGCAGUGAGGGCUGGCCCUGGGUCCCCACUCACCAGAAAGAGUCAGAAUUCGAAACCUGCACCACCCAUGCAGAGCAAACCAGGAAACUCAUGGCUUAGGCUUUUCGCUGAGAGUCCACCUGAGGGAAGGUAGAAGCUAGAACGGCACCGAGGCUGCACCUGCCAGCCAGGGCCGGCCGGCGACAGCGGGCUGCAUGUGCUGUGCACCGCGAGGCGAGCAAGGCGCUGCCCCAGGCCUUGGCACGUGUGUCUCUCUCGGUGGCCCGGUGCGCUGGGGGGCCUGAGGUGCUGCCGCGUGUCACACCUGCCCCCCCACCCCAGCUCCUCAGCCACAGCGAAGCAGCGUCAGCUGGGAUCACAGCAGUGCUGAUGUCCGCUCAGAAAGAGAAGCUGUGGACGGCGUAGGGGCUUGAGAAGAGAUGCUCGGGAAAGAGAAGUAAACUGAAUCUGCGGUCCCGUGCACAAAGUCCCCACUGUGACGGGAAGAGGCUGACGCUGUCACCGCCGGCCCCGCUCCAUCCCCACCUGCCUGGGGCAGACCCGAGCCCGAAGCUCCGAGCCCCAGGGCACCGCUCUCAAGGCCACACAUGGUUUCUGGCUGUAGGUCCAGCACAUCGGCCACCAGAGGGGCUGCAUUAGUUGGCCUAGGAUGACCACAGGAUGCUGCAGGCACACCCCCCCGCUGUGAGCCUGCUCCCAUAGGUGCACCUCCUGGAGCCCUUACAGUGUCAGUGAAGCCCCAGUACACAGGGGGUGCUCUGUGACCCAAGACUGCGCCUGCCAUCCUGACAGAUGUGGCCUUGCCCCAGAGGCCACACCGUGCACAUUUCUGGUUCGCCCAUGACUGGGUCACAUCCCAAGUCUCCAGCCACGCUCCGAGCUCUCCAACGUCUGUGUGCAGCAGGUGCCCUCAGAGCUGCCGCAUUCGGGCCCAGGACCCCCACCUACUGGGUCAGCGUCGCCAGUGUGCAGCCUGGCCUUGGUAUUGCUCUCGUCGCCGUGUGUCGGGCUCCCAGACAGGAGGCCUCCCAAAGCUUCAGGCGGCCCGCCUCCCGGUCUGGGACUUCGGCCUGCUGUGCUGGGCUUCCGUGCCCCUGAGACUCUCACUUCCCCUCCAUUCUUUUUUUUAAAAAAAGGGGGUCCAGGGGCACCUGGGUGGGUCCAUCGGUUGAGUGUCUGACUCUUGAUCUCAAUUCAGGUCGUGAUCUCAGGACCAUGAGUUCUAUCCCCAUGCUGGACUCCUGGUUGGUUAUAGAGCCUACUCAAAAAAAUAAAUACAUAAAAAUUAAAAAAAAAGAGUCUGUGUCAUAAAGGAAUAAAUCCCAUCAUACAAAGAUGCACACAGUACAGGUACACCUAGGAUAAAGUGAAUCCUUCCUCCUCUGCUCCCCUCCUGGAAGUCAGCCUCAUAUGGCCAUGGCCAACCAUGGCCAAUUUGCUGUGAGGACGCAUGCAUGCAGAAAUACAGCUAAACAAAUGGUUAUUACAGUUUCUUCAACUUUACGUAAAAGGCUUGUGCUACGCACGCUGACCUAUGACUUGUCUGUUGAAUGGGACAAGACAACAGGGGUAAAACAGACCAACUGGGAUCUCGCCCAUGGCUGGACAGGGUCAGUGGCUGCAGCUCUCAAGCUUGGUCUCAGAACCCCCACGCACUCUUAAAAAUCACGGAGGACCCCAGAGAGUUUUCAUUGAGCUGGAUUACAUCUGCCGACAUUUACCACAGCAGAAAUUAAAACCAAGAAAUUAAGAUAAACGAACUCACUUUAAAAUAAAAAUAAACCCAUCACAGGUUAAUAUAUGUAACAUGUUUGUACGAAAAAUAACUAUUCCCAAACAGAGGCUUUUAUCAAGAAGACUGGCACUGCCUUAUACGGCGGUUGACGGCUGGAUCCUCCUGUCUGCAUCUGCCUGCUGCCCGCGGCAAUAUCCUGUAGCCACUGGAAAUGAGGCAGAAAAGGGGAAAUACCAUGUUCCUGUUAUGAAAAUAGCUUUGAGCUCCUGGCUCCCCCGCCCCGGGAGAACCUCGAAGCCCCCCGGGGCCCUGGACCUCGCCACCGCGAUGGCUUUCUGCAUAAGAAUGUCACGCGUGUUCCUAAGUAUCUGUCUCUGUCGCUGAGCGUCACUGACUCUGAUUUCGGAGCUCCCACCACGUCCCGGACAUUCCACAGAGCUGGGGAACAGCCAGGCUCCAAGGUGGCAUCCAGAGAUUCUCAGCCCUUGGUCUCCUGCCUCUUGGGUGGGUUCCUGUCACAUCAACCAGAGCUGGUCUCCUCAAGCAAUGGAAGAGAUGGCAGAGAUGAUGGUGCCUAAGGGAUCUUCCUCCCAUUUGAACUCCACAGGGCUCAUGGUCCACCCUGGUGAGAGACUGGGCCCUGGGGGAGCUCCCUCAACCAUCCUGCACAACCUCUCCAGGGCUCUUGCAGAGUUAGAAGAACAUAGGAUUUGGAAUAAAACAUCCAGUUUCCAAACCCAGCUCUUUGUGAUACUGAGUUAUGUGGCUUCUCUAAAUCCCAUCUAUAAAAUGAGUUUAAUGAUAUCCCUGGCACUCCUCUUCCACACAUCAGAGGCUUGGUCAGAGAAGCCAACACAACGUGGAAACAUGCUGCAAGGAGCUGUGCCAGAGUCAGAAGGUACUGCUGUGUGCCCUCGGUCACCUCUGCGAUUCUCAUCUGACUUGCAGCUAACCUGAGCACUUUGUGAGCGACAAGAAGGCAGGGAGUCUUCCCUGUGAGCAUGGUCUAGGCAGACUGACCUACGUUGCUUGGACCCCAAGUCCAGAACUUCACAUUUGUCCCUAUACACUCCCACCUUGGUGGUCCUAGCCUUAUUUUUAGGAUCUCUUCAAGAGCUGUCCAACUUGAAAAUGUCAUUAACUUUGCUCCCAAGUCUUUGUCCAGGUUAUUGAUGUAAUUCUGGCACAGGACAGAGUUCUGAGCAACAGAGUCCUCCCUCUGGGUUGACAGCUGUCACUCACCUCAGCUGAUUAUUCCCACUUGGGUUGUGAUUAUUCAGCCCAUUAUAAGCCAGCCUAACUGAUUCCAGAGCCUUCUGCACUCUGCUGCCAGCCUGCCUCACCAGGUCACUCCUAUAACUGUGAUACUCCCUGAGUGUGUAGCCUGGGGUUACUUAAGGUGUGAUGAGAGUGUGAAGAAAUGCGUCAGUAACAGGUAAGGCAUGGACUCCCGCUUUCUCAACCUCAGCCUUGGCCCUGCAGGCACUGGGGGCUGGGCUGCUCCCUGCGGGGGGGCCAGCCCGUGCACUGAAUAUUUGGUGGCUCCCAGGUCCCUCCCCCAGUUGUGACAACCCAAAGCAUCCCCUGACCUGGCCGCGCGUCCCAGGGUGACAUGAUUGCCCCGGAUCGGAACCAUGGACACAAAAAUGCUGGCAUAGUGUUAGUGUCACUGUUUGUUGUGAACCCACGGUAUGCAGAGGUGGUGCGUGGUUCACCCUCCACCUCCAGGGAUCGUGAAUAUGACCGUGCCCGUGUUUCCACGCUUCCCACUGGGCCUUUGUGACUCGUCGAACAUCUUGCUAAGUUCCAGCAGCUGCCUCCGCGAGGCUGCAUGACCUUGCCAGUGCUGACCUAUCAGAGCAGAAAUGGGGGGCGGCUGUGGGCGAGACACUGGGCGUGAACUUGCCCCAAUGCCAUUGCACUGCCCACAGACCCGUGAGUCCUCAGCCCCGGGACCAUGCAGAAUGGACUCGGAAGCAAAGAAAAUCACUUGGCUCUUGCACCCCCACCUCUGGGCCGUGUUUAUUUCUCCAGGGAAAGUGGAGACGGCCCUCCAACCGUUUCUGGUGGAGGAUGGUGCAGGCAAACCAGCCAAGCUCUCUGAAGCUGGGUUCCUGCGCUGCUAAGCACCGGCCUCUCCCGGCGCUGAGGGCGGCGUGGUGGAUGCGGGGGCCACUGCAGCUCUGCGUUCAGCUGGGGGGUGGCCAGGCCACCGAGGGCCACGCAGUGGGCAGGAGCCCGGGGAGUGAGCAGGGGCGAGGUGACAGGCUCCCUGCGGGAUGGUUGGCUCCAAACCUCCCCUUUACUAGUCUGUUCUUGCCCAGCUGGGAGCUUUGCUGUGGGCACAGG
This is a long non-coding RNA of Canis lupus familiaris (dog), 6339 nucleotides long. RefSeq lists it as uncharacterized. NCBI's taxonomy places the organism in Eukaryota, Metazoa, Chordata, Mammalia, Carnivora, Canidae. The transcript is spliced from 4 exons. The record is from RefSeq and is a predicted model, not a curated record.